RNAcentral lists this ribosomal RNA (309 nucleotides) under Tychiodes sp. D0130. Its description in RNAcentral is "partial large subunit ribosomal RNA". The stretch from base 175 to 309 matches the Rfam family "Bacterial large subunit ribosomal RNA", at positions 2473 to 2608 of the family's 2925-position model. Lineage: Eukaryota; Metazoa; Arthropoda; Insecta; Coleoptera; Curculionidae. RNAcentral also lists the same sequence under 1 other name. The record is from RNAcentral.
GACCCUAUAGAAUUUUAUAUUUUUAUUUUAAAAGGUAUUAGUAUUUAAAAUUUUUAUAAAAAAAAGUAUUUGAUUGGGGUGAUUGAAAAAUUUAAUAAACUUUUUUUGUAUAUGAACACAAAUAAGUGAGUAUAUGAUCCUAUUAUAUAGAUUAUAAGAAAAAAUUACCUUAGGGAUAACAGCGUAAUAUUUUUUGAGAGUUCUAAUCGAAAAAAAUGUUUGCGACCUCGAUGUUGGAUUAAAAUUAAGUUUUGGUGUAGCAGCUAAAUGAUUGGGUCUGUUCGACCCUUAAAAUUUUACAUGAUCUGA